UACGUAGGGGGCAAGCGUUAUCCGGAAUUACUGGGUGUAAAGGGUGAGUAGGCGGCAUGGUAAGCCAGAUGUGAAAGCCUUCGGCUUAACCGGAGUAGUGCAUUGGAAACUGGGAGACUUGAGUGCAGAAGAGGAGAGUGGAACUCCAUGUGUAGCGGUGAAAUGCGUAGAUAUAUGGAAGAACACCAGUGGCGAAAGCGGCUCUCUGGUCUGUAACUGACGCUGAGGUUCGAAAGCGUGGGUAGCAAACAGG
This 253-nucleotide ribosomal RNA is filed under the name uncultured bacterium. RNAcentral describes it as "partial 16S ribosomal RNA". It matches the Rfam family "Bacterial small subunit ribosomal RNA", at positions 524 to 776 of the family's 1533-position model. The record is from RNAcentral.